Molecule: ribosomal RNA, 253 nt
Filed under: uncultured bacterium
Lineage: Bacteria
Description: partial 16S ribosomal RNA
Rfam family: Bacterial small subunit ribosomal RNA
Source: RNAcentral
UACGUAGGGUGCAAGCGUUGUCCGGAAUUAUUGGGCGUAAAGAGCUCGUAGGCGGUUUGUCGCGUCUGCUGUGAAAACUCGGGGCUUAACUCCGGGCCUGCAGUGGGUACGGGCAGACUAGAGUGCGGUAGGGGAGACUGGAAUUCCUGGUGUAGCGGUGAAAUGCGCAGAUAUCAGGAGGAACACCGGUGGCGAAGGCGGGUCUCUGGACAGUUCCUGACGCUGAGGCACGAAGGCCAGGGGAGCAAACGGG